AAUUUUGGACAAUAGGGGCAAACCUGAUCCAGCCAUUCCGCGUGUGUCAACAAGCUCUUCGGAUUGUAAAGCACUUUAAGGUGGGACGAAGGGCUUUAGGUUAAUACCCUGAAGUCUUGCCGUUACCAACAGACUAAGCACUGUCUAACUCUGUACCAGUAGCCGCGGUAAUACAGAGCGUGCAAGCGUUAAUCGGAAUUACUGGGCGUAAAGCGCGCGUAGGUGGUUCAGUAAGAUGGGUGUGAAAUCCCCGGGCUUAACCUGGGAACUGCUUUCAUAACUGCUGAGCUAGAGUACGGUAGAGGGUAGUGGAAUUUCCUGUGUAGCGGUGAAAUGCGUAGAUAUAGGAAGGAACACCAGUGGCGAAGGCGACUACCUGGACUGAUACUGACACUGAGGUGCGAAAGCGUGGGGAGCAAACAG
Molecule: ribosomal RNA, 423 nt
Filed under: uncultured bacterium
Lineage: Bacteria
Description: partial 16S ribosomal RNA
Rfam family: Bacterial small subunit ribosomal RNA
Source: RNAcentral